GCGUCGGUGGUAUAGUGGUUAGCAGAGCUGCCUUCCAAGCAGUUGACCUGGGUUCGAUUCCCGGCCGACGCA
RNAcentral lists this transfer RNA (72 nucleotides) under Dermacentor andersoni. RNAcentral describes it as "transfer RNA glycine (anticodon UCC)". It matches the Rfam family "tRNA". Rfam says of the family: Transfer RNA (tRNA) molecules are approximately 80 nucleotides in length. Their secondary structure includes four short double-helical elements and three loops (D, anti-codon, and T loops). Lineage: Eukaryota; Metazoa; Arthropoda; Arachnida; Ixodida; Ixodidae. The record is from RNAcentral.